This 427-nucleotide ribosomal RNA is filed under the name uncultured bacterium. Its description in RNAcentral is "partial 16S ribosomal RNA". It matches the Rfam family "Bacterial small subunit ribosomal RNA", at positions 355 to 774 of the family's 1533-position model. The record is from RNAcentral.
UGGGGAAUAUUGGACAAUGGGCGAAAGCCUGAUCCAGCCAUGCCGCGUGUGUGAAGAAGGUCUUCGGAUUGUAAAGCACUUUAAGUUGGGAGGAAGGGCAUUAACCUAAUACGUUAGUGUUUUGACGUUACCGACAGAAUAAGCACCGGCUAACUCUGUGCCAGCAGCCGCGGUAAUAGAGAGGGUGCAAGCGUUAAUCGGAAUUACUGGGCGUAAAGCGCGCGUAGGUGGUUUGUUAAGUUGGAUGUGAAAUCCCCGGGCUCAACCUGGGAACUGCAUUCAAAACUGACUGACUAGAGUAUGGUAGAGGGUGGUGGAAUUUCCUGUGUAGCGGUGAAAUGCGUAGAUAUAGGAAGGAACACCAGUGGCGAAGGCGACCACCUGGACUAAUACUGACACUGAGGUGCGAAAGCGUGGGGAGCAAACA